CUGGUUUUGUCAGAUCGUCUCCAAAGCAGCUCCCCCAGGUGUCACACUGCCUGUCAGAGAGGAGGGCUGGUGCAGCAGAGGUCUGUAGGAUCAUUUGUUCUAGAACAGCAUCAGACAAUUUCAACACAACAGAAGAGAGUAUCUCUCAAAGCUCUGAAGCUCCCAGAGGUGAUUGGAGAGGACAGCUGGAGGAUACAGACACCAUUAGUAUUCCCUGAGGAAAAGGCACUGCAUCUCCCAGGUGAAGGACUCAACAGUGUAGAAAGGUAAAUGCAGCUGAAGAACACAGCCAAGUCUGGCAGAACCCCCCCAUUCUGUGACCAUUUUGACAAUUUCAAGUUGUCUUGUAAAGUGCUGAGAGGUGCCUUUCUGCUCCUGCAAGAAGCCUGUGCUCCUCUGCAAACUGCUGCCAAGCUGCUGCAGGACCAGACUAGUUUAUCCCUGCAGUUCCCCUGGAGACAGAGCCAUCAUCCAGUGACAGUCCCACUUUGGGAGAGCUGCCUGGUUCUGCCAGCCUCUACCCAUUUACCCAGAGAGGAAAGCUGGGCCCUGUGACGUGAAGACUCUGCAGCAAGACACAAAUAAAACACCAGAAGACAUUAAAUACUCCUGUCUU
Molecule: long non-coding RNA, 616 nt
Filed under: Serinus canaria (Common canary)
Lineage: Eukaryota; Metazoa; Chordata; Aves; Passeriformes; Fringillidae
Description: lncRNA (ENSSCAG00000014235.1)
Source: RNAcentral